Molecule: ribosomal RNA, 399 nt
Filed under: uncultured bacterium
Lineage: Bacteria
Description: bacterial SSU rRNA
Rfam family: Bacterial small subunit ribosomal RNA
Source: RNAcentral
AUUGAACGCUGGCGGCAUGCUUUACACAUGCAAGUCGAACGGCAGCACGGGGGCAACCCUGGUGGCGAGUGGCGAACGGGUGAGUAAUAUAUCGGAACGUACCCGGAAAUGGGGGAUAACGUAGCGAAAGUUACGCUAAUACCGCAUAUGCCCUAAGGGGGAAAGCGGGGGACUCGCAAGAACCUCGCGUUUUCGGAGCGGCCGAUAUCGGAUUAGCUAGUAGGUGAGGUAAAGGCUCACCUAGGCGACGAUCCGUAGCUGGUCUGAGAGGACGACCAGCCACACUGGAACUGAGACACGGUCCAGACUCCUACGGGAGGCAGCAGUGGGGAAUUUUGGACAAUGGGCGCAAGCCUGAUCCAGCCAUGCCGCGUGAGUGAAGAAGGCCUCGGUUGUAAG